NNNNNNNNNNNNNNNNCCUGUGCCCUGGACACCACCCGGCCACAGCAGCGCUUGUCCCCUGGAUGCCACCUGGCCACACCAGAGCCUGUGCCCUGGACAAUACCCGGCCACACCAGAGCCUGUCCCCUGGAUGCCACCGUGGCCACACCAGAGCCUGUCCCAUGGAGGCCACCUGGCCACACCAGCACUUGUCCCCUGGACACUGUAUGGCCACAGUAGAGCCUGUGCCCUGGACACCACCUGGCCACACCAGCACCUGUCCCCUGGAUGUCACCCCAGCCACACCAGUGCYUGUCCCAUGGAUGCCACCUGGCCACACCAGCCCUGUCCCCUGGACACUAACUGGCCACACCAGAGCCUGUGGCCUGGACACCACCUGGCCACACCGGAGCCUGUCCCAUGGAUGCCACCAUGGGCACACCAGAGCCUGUGCCCUGGAUACCACCUGGCCACAUCAACACUUGUCCCCUGGACACUACAUGGCCACACUAGAGCCUGUGCCCUGGACGUCACCCGGCCACACCAGCGCCUGUCCCCUGCACACCAACCUGGCCACACCAGUGCCUGAGCCCUGGACACCACCAGGCCACACCAGCCCUGUCCCCUGGGCACCACCUGGUCACACCAGCACCUGUGCCCUGGAUGUCACCUGGCCAUGCCAGUGCCUGUCCCCUGGGCACCAACCCGGUCACACCAGCGCCUGUCCCCUGGACACCACCAGGCCACACCAGCGCCUGUGCCCUGGACACAAACACGGCCACACCAGCACUUGUCCCCUGGAGGCCACCUGGCCACACCAGCACUUGUCCCCUGGACACUGUAUGGCCACAGUAGAGCCUGUCCCCUGGACACCACCUGGUCACACCAGCGCCUGUGCCCGAGACAUCGUCUGGCCACACCAGCCUGUCCCCUGGACACCAACCGGCCACACCAGAGCCUGUCCCCUCAACACCAACAUGGUCACAUCAGCACUUGUCCCCUGGGCACGACCUGGCCACACCAGCCCUGUCCCCGGGAGGCCACCCUGGCCACACCAGCACCUGUCCCAUGGAUGCCACCUGGCCACACCAGC
This 1072-nucleotide long non-coding RNA is filed under the name Dromaius novaehollandiae (emu). RNAcentral's name for it is "lncRNA (ENSDNVG00000018969.1)". Lineage: Eukaryota; Metazoa; Chordata; Aves; Casuariiformes; Dromaiidae. The record is from RNAcentral.